RNAcentral lists this ribosomal RNA (407 nucleotides) under uncultured bacterium. Its description in RNAcentral is "partial 16S ribosomal RNA". It matches the Rfam family "Bacterial small subunit ribosomal RNA", at positions 28 to 526 of the family's 1533-position model. The record is from RNAcentral.
GACGAACGCUGGCGGCGUGCCUAAUACAUGCAAGUAGGACGCAGUUGCGAACGGGUGAGUAACGCGUAGGUAACUACCUAUUAGAGGGGGCUAACUAUUGGAAACGAUAGCUAAUACCGCAUAUUAGUAGAUGGACCUGCGUUGUAUUAGCUAGUAGGUAGGGUAAUGGCCUACCUAGGCAACGGUACAUAGCCGACCGUGAGGGGGGGUCGGCCACACUGGGACUGAGGCACGGCCCAGACUCCUACGGGAGGCAGCAGUAGGGAAUCGUCGGCAAUGGGGGGAACCCUGACCGAGCAACGCCGCGUGAGGGAAGAAGGUUUUCGGAUCGUAAAGCUCUGUUGUUAAGGAAGCGGUACUUAACCAGAAAGGGACGGCUAACUACGUGCCAGCAGCCGCGGUAAUUC